CACCUCCUUCUUUUGUCUCGUGCUACUCUGCUUCGUACUCUCUGGGUAAAGACCAAAGUUUGGUCUUUUCAGCUUCCCAAAAUUUGCCAAUCACUAAAGUUGUAUAAAAGUCAACCUACUAUUUCCCAUGAUAAUUUUGCUACUAAUUUGGUCGUAUACUACGAGAGUAAUCAAUCGGUUUACGGAGCACAGGAAGAACGGUCCACCAAACGGGUAUGAACUACGAUUGAGGUACGAAGAAAAUCAGGGGUUGCCUUAGAGUGAGGAUGCAACCAUCAAAUUCACGAUCGAUGCUUAAUAAAGAUAAUCAUGUAUCACUAGUAAUAAUGGAUGAACAAAUUAAACUCUAAGUCAAAUUUCAAUUAUUGAGUUGGAUUUUAAUAUUUAUAUUUAAUCAAUUUUAGGAAUAUUUAUUAAAUUUCAUUUAGAUUUCGAUGUAAAUAUUAAAGAAUUAAUCGAAGUGAAGUAUAAUUACUGUUACUCAUCAGUAGUCAGUAAAUGUAAAAAGGUUAUGUCGCCUUGUAUUUCCCACGAGGAAAUUACGGCAUGUGACGCUCCGACUAAAUUAGGGUUUCCGCUGCUAAUUAAAGAUAAUUAACCUAAUUAAUGGUGUUUAGAAGUCGGGGUGUUACAAAACCAUAUCUCGCUAAUUUUUAAUAAGGUACAUCCGAAAUCGAUGCUAUUAUAAACUCAAUUUUUUUUAAUAUGUCAGCCAAUUGCAAUUAGAUCUUGAGAAUCGGUACGUCAACUCUAUAUUCUAACUAAGUGUAAAUUUUUACUUUGUUUCUGGCACUUUUCCUUUGUUUUAUACACAAGGGAACUUUUGUUUGCACGCUAUCUUGUAUGCGGUAAUACAUAUUAUUGUCUCAUAGUAAUUUAUUUGUUUGCUAUAUACGAAAUUAAUGUGUUUUUGUAGCACGAUAGGAUAUAUUUUUGUGGUUACCUUUUGAUAACUAUAUUGGAUUUGUUAAGUUUACAUGUGCGGAGUUGUUUCGGUUGAUUUCAAUCAUAUUUUUUGGUUCUUUAGAAAUUGUAUGUGCCGCAACUUUAUUCGGUGCUUUGCUAUUAUUUUUAAAGGGUUUGCUUAUUUCAUGAGAGUUAAUGAGUUAUAGCAAUUAUACAUUAUCAAUUUAUCAUGUAUUGAUGUCAAAUGUGGAAAUUUCAAUAUGUUUUGAUGAUAUUCUUACUCAUGGCAGUAGAUCUGUCAUAUUUCUUUUCAAGCGCAUAAUAGGUGACUCGUCUCGCAAAUUUAUGUUUUAAUAGUAUUUUGGGAUGAUAAUGACAUAUUAUGUUGUUUAGGUUUAUCAUGAUUAACCUCUCUUUGAUUAAUUUCCAAUAUUGAUUGUUGGCAAAUAGUCUGUCACUUUUAUUACCAAUUUUCAUAAGACUAAAAUACCAAGUUAUUCAUAGCCAAACGUAAAUUUCGUUAGCAUUUUUUGUGAAAAAAGCUAUAAUGCAUUUAUAUUCGUAUCAUGAUCUUAGAUAAAUUUUAAUAGUACUUUUUUCCAAUGAGUUUGAGCCAAAUUAUUACAAUAAAUCUCAUAUUAAAAACCAACAAAUUCUUUGGAGUAAUAUAUCUAAAGGAAAGAUAAGUAUGACCACCAGAAAAUUGUGAUAGAGAGUAUUACCAAAAGCUCGUUAUGAGUGGUUUCAUUAAGAUUACCUUAUUUUAGUCUAUGAGUGAAUGAACUCAACUAAGUUUAGAAUAAUUUCUUGAUUGAACUUAUGUGGGGAGGAAAUUACUCAUGCAAAUAGAUAAGAAAAUAUGUACUCCACCUUUCGUGCAAAUAAUGUUGUCCUGUAGACAUAAGAUCGAAAAAAAAGGUUUUAAGAAAUAUUCUGAAUUGAUAUCUUGUCUUCUCGUGGGUGAGAAAAAAUAAUGAGUUAUUGAUGAAAAAUUAAUAAUCAUGUCCAACUAGUCCUGCUUCAUUCCCUGAAGCGAAUGUGACAUCCCAUAAUGGGAAAGAAAACACCACACAACAAAAGUGGUCGAACACGUGGUCAUGGACGUGGGCGUGGAUACGAAUAUGGUCGAGUUCGAGGCCGAGGACGAGGUGGUUCUUUCAAUAACUCAUAUCCCCACCAGAAGUGGGACAAAGAUGGUAACAAACAAGAGAAAGAUAAAAAUGAUAUGUGACCAAUGUAUAUUACCGCAACGGAGAAAAAGGUUAUUCGUCUACUAAAACAAGUAGAAUUUAUAAUAGAAUUUACUAGAUAAUAUUGAAGAACUUAAAUAUGUGGUCUUGCUCUUCCCUGAAGAAAAUUAUUUAUCAAGGGUGUUAUAUGUUGAAAUGCGAAUAUACCUGUAGGGGUUUUUUUUUUGUGUCAAAACUUGUUUCCCGUUCUACAAGAGGGGCGGUUCUUUAGAAAAUCGUAGAAUUUUUGUACCUCGAAGGAGUCGCCACCCAACAUUGUUUAAAGUCUCGUUUGGAAAGACCGAAUGUGACUCUAUUUUGGAUAAGGCCUUGAAUCCUUGAAACGGAUGGGUGAGAUCCGGGCACGGGAACAAAAAUGCUUAUUCCGCGAGCUUUAGAAAUAUUCAAGUACGUUGGCACAACAUUUUUUCGAAAAUAUAUCCUAGAUUAGACUAUGUGGGUUUGAAUUUAGAGCAAAUUGAAUCUCUAAUUGUAUGGUGGUCACUUUGCUUUAAAGAUUGAUAUAAGGAACCUAAGGCCGGUUUGUCCAAAAAUAUCUUUGUUAAGCGUGAUGUAACCUUUGUAUUUUGUUGUAUUUAGCAUGUGCGGUGAUGAAAGCAAUAAAGCAAAUAAAGCAACAUCACAAUACUAAAUAAAGUGCGGAAUUAGUAAAUACAAGACCCCCUAGAAAAGGACUAGGGAGUAGGUCCACAUUGCCUAGAAAUGGACUAGGCAAGUAAAGAUGCGGAAUUGAAAGUGCGGAAUUGAAAUUGCGGUAUUGAAAGUGCGAUAUUGAAAUUGCGGUAUUGAAAGGUGCGAUAUUGAAAUUGCAAUAUUGAAAGGUGCAUAAUUGAAAUUUGUACUUGGGCACAUGAGAUUCGAACGCCAAGCGGCUCCUUAAAAAUAAGUGCGCCCGACACGAAUUCAAAGCCAAAAAUCUCAACUUGGGAGAGGUUGCUCAACGCAAAUAUCCUAGAUUUUGCAUGUUAAACUUGAACUUGAAAGCUUUAAUAUUGAAGUUUUGAACUUGAAAUAACUUGAAAUUUUAACAUGAAGGGAUCCUAGUUUAGGGAAAUAACCAUGAACAACCCUAAACAUGGUGGGAUCUUGAAAAUUGAAAAUUUGAACUUGUAUAUUGAAAAUGGAGUUUUGAAUCUCAAAAGACUAAACCUUUAAAUGUUAAAAGGUGUCAUCUUUGAUUACCCCAUUGUAUGAAGGUGAUUCUAGUCCAAGAGGUGAUUGUAAACAACUUGGACAUCCUUGAAUCUUGAAAAGUUGUAUUUUGUAUUUUGAAAAAGUUUGUAUUUUUGGAAAACAUGUAUGAUUGUUGCAAGUGGUGUUUUUUAAUGAUUAUAAAAACACCAACUUGCUAAUCAUUUAGAAAUCAAAGCAACAUAGUUGAUUAGAAUGGGAUUCGGAUUUACCUAGUUAGGUUUAGGCAAGAGCUCCCAAUUGAUUUUGAAUUUAGGAAUUUUGUAUGUGUUUUUGAGGAGUUUUGGAGUUGUAUUUUGAGGCGUAAUGUCAAAAUUACGACGUUGUAUUGUUGUUCUCCUCCUCAUUAUGCUGAAAAUGAGGGGUAUUUAUAGGGGAAAUGGAUGCAAGGCGCCAGCACACGUCAGCGCAGGGCGCUGGACCAGCGCUAGGCGCUGGUGACGUGGCUUGAAUGCCGCAAAAGUAAGGACGCGGCUCCGUCCUUGUUUCGUCUUGUAGUGUUGUACCUGUUGUACGAAUAGUACUAGGUUUGGCGUUUUGUAUUUGCUUGGAGGUUAAGGCAUCAUAUAGGGUCAAAAAACAAGCCUUUCUCGGAUUUUGAAUUUCGGUUUUUACGGGACGGGGCCCGGCAUGCUCGGUUUUGUGGGUCGGCGGCCGAAUUUGACUUGCCUUAUAUGAUUUUGAGUGGAAAAGGCUUAGUAAAACCAAUGGGAUAGUCUACUAGAUGAGAUUGUACUUGGAUUUUGAAAUUGGAUUUGGAAAGUUGUAUUUCGUACCAAGAACCGAAAGGGGAACGGUCUCGGGGUUGGAUUUUGGAUCUUGAAUUUUGGAAGCAUUCUUAGCAAUUGGGAUUUCCGCCUGGAGUUAUUCCAAUCACCUAAUAAGGAUAAUGGUAUCGUCAUCAUCCCAAAGGGGAGACACAAAUUAGGUGUCUACAGAAGCCCCCACUUUGACUGAGCGUUCGGUUAGGAAAGCGCAAGUCAAAGUAUUUCGAAAGGGACGGAGAAUGAUUAAGAUGUUCUGCAAUCGAGACCACUCUUUGUACGCCGGUACUGAAGGAAAUAAUGCCCUUGGUCCAAGUAUGCAUUUAAUGAUAAGUCUAAUAAAUGCGGUUCAUUAUUAAUUAAAGAAGUUAAUAAUUCAGUGAGAUCAAGUGAGCUGAAUGCCUAGCUAGAGGAUGCUUCAGUUCAAGUGGAAUUAAUGAUAUUAAUCCACAGCUUACUCUUGACUGAACCCGUAGGGUCACACAAAUAGUAUGUAAAAGGAUUAAGUAUUUAAUGGCAUUAAAUACUCCAUCUAUGGAUAUUCGGAAUCGACGGAUCUUUGUUUCAGUGGGAGCUGAGAUCGUCAAAAGCAAGAAAUGAAUACUCCGGAAACGAUGAUGUUGC
Molecule: long non-coding RNA, 4735 nt
Organism: Spinacia oleracea (spinach)
Lineage: Eukaryota; Viridiplantae; Streptophyta; Magnoliopsida; Caryophyllales; Amaranthaceae
Exons: 3
Source: RefSeq, a predicted model, not a curated record